Molecule: unclassified non-coding RNA, 243 nt
Filed under: Glomeraceae sp.
Lineage: Eukaryota; Fungi; Glomeromycota; Glomeromycetes; Glomerales; Glomeraceae
Description: partial contains 5.8S ribosomal RNA and internal transcribed spacer 2
Rfam family: 5.8S ribosomal RNA (bases 1-71)
Source: RNAcentral
GUGAAUCAUCGAAUUUUUGAACGCAAAUUGCACUCUCUGGUAUUCCGGAGAGUAUGCCUGUUUGAGGGUCAGUUUAAAUAAAAAUGGGUGUGGUUGCUGCUUUUGGUGGUGAGGAACGGGAUGGGGGUGGUUUUGCCUUCCGUUAAGUGACCUAAAAUUUUGCAGGAUUUUUUCGAACGUAUUUAAUUGAUUUUACGUAGGUUUGGGAUACCGAAUACUAGGGUUGGUCUUCCUAUUGAUCGG